UUGAACGCUGGCGGCAUGCCUUACACAUGCAAGUCGGACGGCAGCACGGGUGCUUGCCCCUGGUGGCGAGUGGCGAACGGGUGAGUAAUACAUCGGAACAUGUCCUGUAGUGGGGGAUAGCCCGGCGAAAGCCGGAUUAAUACCGCAUACGAUCUACGGAUGAAAGCGGGGGCCUUCGGGCCUCGCGCUAUAGGGUUGGCCGAUGGCUGAUUAGCUAGUUGGUGGGGUAAAGGCCUACCAAGGCGACGAUCAGUAGCUGGUCUGAGAGGACGACCAGCCACACUGGGACUGAGACACGGCCCAGACUCCUACGGGAGGCAGCAGUGGGGAAUUUUGGACAAUGGGCGAAAGCCUGAUCCAGCAAUGCCGCGUGUGUGAAGAAGGCCUUCGGGUUGUAAAGCACUUUUGUCCGGAAAGAAAUCCUUGGCCCUAAUACGGUCGGGGGAUGACGGUACCGGAAGAAUAAGCACCGGCUAACUACGUG
Molecule: ribosomal RNA, 484 nt
Filed under: uncultured bacterium
Lineage: Bacteria
Description: partial 16S ribosomal RNA
Rfam family: Bacterial small subunit ribosomal RNA
Source: RNAcentral